GACGAACGCUGGCGGCGUGCUUAAUACAUGCAAGUCGAACGGAAAGGCCCUGCUUUUGUUGGGUUCUCGUGUGGCGAACGGGUGAGUAACACGCGAGUAUCCUGCCCUUGACUGUGGGGUAACUUCAGGAAACUGGGGCUAUUACCGGGUAGGAGCUCCUGCUGCAUGGGGUUGGUUGGUAAGUUUCGGCGGUUGGGGAUGGACUCGCGGGUUAUCAGCUUGUUGGUGUGGUAGUUGCUUACCCAGGCUUUGACGGCUAGCCGGCAUGAGAGGGUUACCGGGGACCUGGGGCCUGCGAUACGCAGCAGACUGGAACGGGCGGCAGCAGUGGAGAAUAUUGCACAGUAGGCGGAAGCCUGAUGCAGCAACGCCGCGUGCGGGAUGACGGCCUACGGGGUGUAAACAGAUUUCGAAUGUGCCGAAGAGAGAGUGACGGUAAUGAGUCAGGAAGCCACGGCUAACUACGUG
Molecule: ribosomal RNA, 468 nt
Filed under: uncultured bacterium
Lineage: Bacteria
Description: partial 16S ribosomal RNA
Rfam family: Bacterial small subunit ribosomal RNA
Source: RNAcentral